UCAGGGCCCUCUCCAGGGUGCAAUUCCCGGGGAACUGCCGGCUCUCGGCGUGGCUGUGGGUGCUGGCAGACAUGGCUGAGCUCGGGAGCCCAAACCAGCCUCCUCCCCUGCCCUGAGCAGAAACCACCCCGCUGGGCUGAGUCCACGUCCAAAACUGCGUCUCCCUCAGCGUGUCCCUUGGAGGCCCUCCCGGUCCCACUCACCUGGUCUCGAGGAGGGUGUGCAGAGAACAGAUCCCUUCUGUGCUCCCGGAGCCCGGGCAGCCCUUUUAUCCCCGGCUGAGGGGCGGUUUCACCACAGCUGGUGACACACCUGCCACAAGCAGCGGCUUGAGUUCGCCUUUCCCGCUCCUGGAAAUUGCCGGGUGGGCCCUUCCCGAGCCCCUCCCGGCUCGUUCCUCCUCAGGCAGUUCCUGGUUGCACCCACCGGGCUUUGGAAACGCCGUCCUUGCCCCGGCUGUCACCUCUGCCAGGCCCCACGUGCAGCAGGAGGGGACCCACGCCGGGUGUGUGGUCACACCUUGGCACAAGUUGCCAGAACUGGGCAAGUUUUGCAACGUGCCAAAAAUUCACACGUCUUCAGACUGGUGGGGGAGAAAGUCGGGCUGUUUUGCACAAAGCAGCAUCUGCCUUUCAAAACUGGUUUUCCAGAGUGUUUUCCAUUCCUCUCUAUCUUCACGUCACCCACACCAGACCUUUCCUCUCGCUCCAGGAAUUUUCUGGAGGAAACCGGGCAUAAAACCAGAGGAAAAGCCGAGCUCAGGGUCUCCACAGGCUGGUGGAUGAGCCACCAAAUGUUUUGCAACUGUCACCUCUGUGUCACCCGUCCAGAAGAAUGAGGAGACUCUCAGAAGAUUUAAACCAAGACAAUAGAUACCAGGAAGAGGAGAGGACCAGCAGAACAAGAGGGUAACCAGUCCUGUUUGAGGAUGCUCCUCGUGUGGCCCGGGGGCAGUGGCAGGAACUGUUGCAUGAGUUUUAUUCCCGUA
This is a long non-coding RNA of Pseudopipra pipra, 988 nucleotides long. RefSeq lists it as uncharacterized. The record is from RefSeq and is a predicted model, not a curated record. NCBI's taxonomy places the organism in Eukaryota, Metazoa, Chordata, Aves, Passeriformes, Pipridae. The transcript has 2 exons.